UGGGGAAUUUUGGACAAUGGGCGAAAGCCUGAUCCAGCAAUGCCGCGUGCAGGAUGAAGGCCUUCGGGUUGUAAACUGCUUUUGUACGGAACGAAACGGCGAGCUCUAAUAAAGUUUGCUAAUGACGGUACCGUAAGAAUAAGCACCGGCUAACUACGUGCCAGCAGCCGCGGUAAUACGUAGGGUGCGAGCGUUAAUCGGAAUUACUGGGCGUAAAGCGUGCGCAGGCGGUUAUAUAAGACAGAUGUGAAAUCCCCGGGCUCAACCUGGGACCUGCAUUUGUGACUGUAUAGCUAGAGUACGGUAGAGGGGGAUGGAAUUCCGCGUGUAGCAGUGAAAUGCGUAGAUAUGCGGAGGAACACCGAUGGCGAAGGCAAUCCCCUGGACCUGUACUGACGCUCAUGCACGAAAGCGUGGGGAGCAAACAGGAUUAGAUACCCCCGUAGUCCCUGAGCGGGCUGGCAAGGCGCAU
RNAcentral lists this ribosomal RNA (472 nucleotides) under uncultured bacterium. RNAcentral describes it as "bacterial SSU rRNA". It matches the Rfam family "Bacterial small subunit ribosomal RNA", at positions 355 to 825 of the family's 1533-position model. The record is from RNAcentral.